Molecule: microRNA precursor, 157 nt
Filed under: Pelobates cultripes (western spadefoot toad)
Lineage: Eukaryota; Metazoa; Chordata; Amphibia; Anura; Pelobatidae
Source: RNAcentral
GCAGACACAUUCCAUCCAAUCAGCAGCAGACCCUCCCUCCCAGACCCUCCCACCUCUUGGACAGCAUCCAUUUUGAAGCUGCAUUUUUAGUGAGCUGUCCAGGAUGUGAGAGGGUCUGGGAGGGAGGGUCUGCUGCUGAUUGGCUGGAAUGUGUCUG